Transfer RNA from Pelodiscus sinensis (Chinese soft-shelled turtle), 72 nucleotides. It matches the Rfam family "tRNA". From Rfam's summary of the family: Transfer RNA (tRNA) molecules are approximately 80 nucleotides in length. NCBI's taxonomy places the organism in Eukaryota, Metazoa, Chordata, Testudines, Trionychidae. The record is from Rfam.
GCAUUGGUGGUAUAGUGGUGAGCAUAGUUGCCUUCCCAACACUUGACCUGGGUUCAAUUCCCAGCCAAUGCA